This 89-nucleotide transfer RNA is filed under the name Bacillus cereus. Its description in RNAcentral is "tRNA-Ser". It matches the Rfam family "tRNA". From Rfam's summary of the family: Transfer RNA (tRNA) molecules are approximately 80 nucleotides in length. Their secondary structure includes four short double-helical elements and three loops (D, anti-codon, and T loops). RNAcentral also lists the same sequence under 14 other names. Lineage: Bacteria; Bacillati; Bacillota; Bacilli; Caryophanales; Bacillaceae. The record is from RNAcentral.
AGAGAGGUACCCAAGUGGCUUAAGGGGCUCCCCUGCUAAGGGAGUAGGCGGUAAAACGUGCGCGAGUUCGAAUCUCGUCCUCUCUGCCA